AACUGCGGAGGGAUCAUUACACAACAAAAAUAUGAGGGUGUGGUUUGCUGGCACAGCGUCCGCCCCAAGUAUUUUUCACCCAUGUCUUUUGCGCACUUUUUGUUUCCUGGGCGAGUUCGCUCGCCACCAGGACCCAACCAUAAACCUUUUUUUAUGCAGUUGCAAUCAGCGUCAGUAUAAUAAUUCAAUUUAUUAAAACUUUCAACAACGGAUCUCUUGGUUCUGGCAUCGAUGAAGAACGCAGCGAAAUGCGAUACGUAGUGUGAAUUGCAGAAUUCAGUGAAUCAUCGAAUCUUUGAACGCACAUUGCGCCCUUUGGUAUUCCAAAGGGCAUGCCUGUUCGAGCGUCAUUUGUACCCUCAAGCUUUGCUUGGUGUUGGGCGUCUUUUUGUCUCUCCCCUUGUUGGGGGAGACUCGCCUUAAAACGAUUGGCAGCCGACCUACUGGUUUUCGGAGCGCAGCACAAAUUUGCGCCUUCCAAUCCACGGGGCGGCAUCCAGCAAGCCUUUGUUUUCUAUAACAAAUCCACAUUUUGACCUCGGAUCAGGUAGGGAUACCCGCUGAACUUAAGCAUAUCAAUA
Molecule: ribosomal RNA, 581 nt
Filed under: Exserohilum rostratum
Lineage: Eukaryota; Fungi; Ascomycota; Dothideomycetes; Pleosporales; Pleosporaceae
Description: eukaryotic LSU rRNA
Rfam family: 5.8S ribosomal RNA (bases 197-350)
Source: RNAcentral